GCUGGGUGUGCCUGACGCGGUAGUAUGCACCUGUCGUCCCAGCUACUCAGGAGGCUGAGACAGGAGGAUUGCUUGAGUCUAGGAGUUCUGGGCUUUAGUGGGCUGUGCUGAUUGGAUGUCCACACUAAGUUCACCAUCAGUAUGGUGACCCCCUGGGAGCAAGGGGCCACCAGGUUGCCUAAGGAGGGGUGAACCGGCCCAGGUUGGAAAUGGAGCAGGUCAAAACUCCUGUGCUGAUCAGUAGUGGGAUUGUGCCUGUAAAUAGCCACUGCACUUGAGCCUGGGCAACAUAGUGAGAUCCUGCCUCUU
Molecule: non-coding RNA, 309 nt
Organism: Otolemur garnettii (small-eared galago)
Lineage: Eukaryota; Metazoa; Chordata; Mammalia; Primates; Galagidae
Source: Rfam